This 108-nucleotide transfer RNA is filed under the name Paenalcaligenes hominis. RNAcentral describes it as "tRNA-OTHER". It matches the Rfam family "transfer-messenger RNA", at positions 268 to 374 of the family's 374-position model. From Rfam's summary of the family: Bacterial tmRNA, also known as 10Sa RNA or SsrA, is named for its dual tRNA and mRNA-like properties. Lineage: Bacteria; Pseudomonadati; Pseudomonadota; Betaproteobacteria; Burkholderiales; Alcaligenaceae. The record is from RNAcentral.
UGUCGAAUGGCAUGGCUCAAGGCUAAAAAAUAAAGUUAUUCGACUAAACAUGUAGAACUGCCUGUGGACGGCUUGCGGACGGGGGUUCAAUUCCCCCCGGCUCCACCA